Alligator mississippiensis (American alligator) is the source of this 4781-nucleotide long non-coding RNA. RefSeq lists it as uncharacterized. The record is from RefSeq and is a predicted model, not a curated record. The transcript has 2 exons. Lineage: Eukaryota; Metazoa; Chordata; Crocodylia; Alligatoridae.
GCAUCCGGCGCAUGCGCGGCGCGCCCCACUCCCGGGACCAAGGGGAGCGGCGCGCCCCGCAGCACGCUGGGAGUGGUAGUCCGUGCCGCGCUGCAUGCUGGGGGCUGUCGUUCUGCGCAGGGGCGCGCUGGGAGUUGUAGGCGAGGCCCUCAGGGGUGCAGCUUCCCCCCCAGGGGGGUGCGGGCGCCCCUGGGUGUCGAGGACCCCGGCCUCAGCGCGGCCUGGGCGAUGAGGGCCUCCGACACCGUUGCGUCCACGUGAAACACGAGGGGCCACGGCAAAGCCCAUCGUCGCCCCCCAAAAACGCAGGUGCCGCAAUUCCCACCGGCUUUUUUUUUUUUUUUUUUUGGCCGUGUCAUUACGCGCGGGCGAAGACCCGGAGACGUGAAAAAUGGUGACGCUUAACGACAGAAUUCAGCCUUCCUCCAGGCUCGGACCGGCUGCGGCCACGCGGUUCCCGCCGCUUUCUCGGACACCGCGACGGGUCCGCGGCUCCUCGGUCGUGGAUGACGGGGGAUCCCGGACUCAGCGUCUCGCCUCCCGUGAGCAGCGCCUCUUCCAGAGUCACUGAUAACCGUCCGCACGUAUCGUUCAAGGACCGCUUCCUUUUCCCUUUGAGGCCGCCUGCGGUAGCCAGCCGAUGGUCGCUCAGGUCGCCGGCUCCCGCUUCACUCGACGCGUCGCCCGUUCCUCGCGUUGGAUGCCGGCAGAGCCGCCGCCAGAGGCCGAAAGGAAGUGUCUUGCUUUGUGCCUUUCAUGGGGGGUACCGCUUUGAGCAGCGGGGCCGGCGUGACGGAAAAGCGAACCCGCGUCAGGAUGUUCAGAGCGUAAAAUACGACUCAACGCGGGUUGCAGUCUUGGUGCGGAUGGCUCUGCAAAGCUCUCCCGCCACGGAGCUGCCUCCUUGCCCGAUGAAGCGCCUGGCGCGCGGACGUCAGGGUGUCCCUGUCGAUUUCGAGGGAGAUGAGAUUCACCUCGGGGAUCGCUUAAAGACAUUUUUCCUGCCGGUAAUGUUUGAAGUUGUGAUUCCUGAUCCAGUUGCAACUGUAUUGCCGCGCAGUUACAAUCGACAUCUUCACUGUGGAUAAAGAUUCGUUUGUGAAAAAGAGCUCAAAGGCCAGUUCUGAAUUAAAUCCAGCACUGUUGGGCCCGUGAGGAUUUCUACGCUAGCUAGCGGAAACUUGUCUUGAAGUAGCAAGAAGCUGAGUUACAGGUGGUUUUGGGGCUGAUUUCCCAGGUUAAGUGUUUCCAGCUGAUUGUCCUUUGCAGUGCAUAUGUCUGCUGGAAGUCCAAUAUUAUAUAAGCAGGGGCAUUUACAGCCAUCACACUGCAUCUUGGCCAUGCAGGGUGUUGCUUUCUGAAACAAGUGUUUCCUGCCAAGAGGGUUUGUUUUCCUCUGUGAUAAGAAACAAUGAUUACCUUGAUUUGUACUUGAGCAUUUUGCAGCAGAGCUGGGAUCUGACGCUGUGCUAAAUCCAUUGUUUUGGCUAACCAAAUGCCAGCCGGGCCCUCUUGGAAACACGCUGCCAGGACUCAGGCCAAGCACGGGCUGUUGGGGUUUGUUUCCAGAAGUGUCUGCUAGGUUUGUUUUAAAAAUACCUCUUUGCAUUUGGAGAGAGACGCUGCAUUAAAAUCAAGUGGAAGGGAAGGCGGAGAGGGAGGGAUGCAGGCAGGAGGAGCUGAGAGGGUGCCGUUUUGCAGCCUUGGAAGAUUUCAAGAUCUUCUCAGAACGGCAGAUGGCACAGAGACAGGCCCAGCUGGAAUCUAGUCAGGUCCAUAACACUGCAGCCACUUGCUGAAAGCCCCCACAGCACCACAGAUACAAAACAACAUUUAUUUUAAGUCUUGAGAAGCAUCUGCUCUCGUCAAAUGUAUGCCCAGUGGGUGAAGACUUGGUUUGGAAGUAGCCACAUUGCCAGUCCCAAGAAUUAAAAAAAAAAAAAAAAAAAAUCAUGAGUUUGGUCUUCUGAAAUCAUGAGACAGACCUAAAAGUCAGGAGGUGUCUUUUAAAAUUCACAAUUCUUGAAUUCUUUUCAUUUUUCUUCCAGUUUGGGGCCUGGAAGACUUAGGUUUUCAGUCUUUCUUUUUUUGCCCUCCACAAUUGAGAGGCUAGAAAUGAAGACCAUGUUUCUGGAGUAAUUUCAUGCAGUUUUGGAAGUUUUCAUGGCACCAGAAUGUGGGGCGGUAAGGGGAACGGCCAGUAUCAAGAGAGCUGGGCCAUUUCAUGGGUGAUGGUCUUCCCUGGGUUACCUGCCUAAUGUUCCUGAAGCAACUGCUGCAAACUAGAAGUUAGUUUCCCAGGCAGCUCUCUCUCCAUCUUGGCUUGUAGAAAGCUCUUCUCAUGAGCACUGAUCAUCAGAUAAAGUGCUGCAACCACAUGGCUUUGUGCCAUGUAUAUAACGUUCUGGAUUGGCUCUUAAAAAUGAGUUUGCUCGUCUGUUUUUUCAGUUGUUUAUUUGUCCUGUAUUUCCUGGAACUGUUUGCAGGCUCCCUUCCCUUCUAGCCCCCAAGCUGGGGGGCUGAUGGACAUAUUUAGGAUGAGGCAACAAGACCAGCCUGGAGACAGAAAGCCCAGGGCAGCCCUUAGAGAGGAGCCAGGGGACUAGAGCAAGCUACAGGUGCUCAGAAGCUAAGGGUGGGCUUUAUCUUGUGGAACCAGUGGGUGGGGUGUGAAGGAUUUUCUGAUUGACUCAGUGAUGUUAAUUUUAAAACUUACUGGUGUUUUUAUGUGAUAGUUUGGUGAAACCUGUGCAGCAUCAAGACUAAAAGCCUGAAGGAAAUCCCCACCUUGCAGGGUGGAAGGCUUUGUCAUUUGCUAAUGAGCCACACCACAGGGAGAGGCUGUGUGCUUCAGCCCCUGCUGGCUGGGAGCUACAUUCAUGCUAAAUGCCAGCAAACUUCUUGUUGGAGGGCCUGAGAAACCGCUUUCUGAUGGACUUCUCCUUCUGUUCCACCUCUAUCAAUAAUGCCCAGUGAAUGCUGAGAUCUCUCUCAUUGCUAGGUAUAAAUUCUCAAGCCAGAUACUCCAGACAGGCAUUUCCAGGCGAUUAUUGCUCUACUUGUGCAGUUGAAAUCACUUAGUCUUUGGCCUUGUGCCUCACAGCGCCAGCAGAGGCAUGCCGUAAUUGCCCGUAAAUGCACUGUCUGUCAUAUUAUUGUUUAAUUAUUCCACUUUCUCACUCCCCCUCAUAGCAUGCACGCUCACUCUUUCUCUUGCUCUCUCAAUAUCUUUAAUUGGGUGGAAAAAGUCUGUGGCUUGUGCUGUACUUUUGGCGUGAAAUGAAGUGGUGCAUCAGUGGAUCUUGUACCAGAGUUGCAACGUUCAUAGACCCAAGCCAGUUGGCUGAGUUGGUGGAUGGGAGGCAUUUGGCUAACAGUAGAUACCAGAACCAAAUGAGUGGAAGAGCUUUAUUCACCUUCAUCCUUGCUGUUGGAGAGGAAUUAAAAGUUACAGAGUUGACCUGUGAGACACAGGUGACCUGUCACUUGUGUGUGGGAUAUCACGUUGGCAGUAUUGAAGUGAAAGCAGUUGCAGUCAUCCUGAUUCCUUAUGCAGCAUUCCCACCAAACAGGUCAGCAUGUACAACGGCACCUGGGAUGCUGCUUCCACGUGGAGACCAACCGUCAAUGAACGUGACUUACUGUAGAACUGAGUGCAGGAGUUACAGUUCAGCAUGCCUGUGUCUUGUUUUUCUGGAAAACACAAGAUCGAUAAAUAGAUUUGUAUAGCCAAAGGGGACCAUUUUGAUCUGUUAAUUUGACUUUUGGCAUAACACAGGCCCUGCAAUCUCCCCCAGUAAUGCAUUGAUCAAUGCAUUCAUCAAGCUUAUAACUUUUGUCUCUGAUAGAAAGACAUCCUGUCCAAACUGGUGCCAUUGUUUUUCACAUUCCCCAUAGGUUCCUUUGUCUUUCAACAAAAUCACGAAUGCGUCUUAGAUUAGAAAACUCUGCUCUGAGUUUGGAGGAGGAUCGUUGUUCUCUUUGCUAAUGAAGUGUCCAGGGAGUGCAUUCUGCACUGAAGGGAGAAUGAGAUGCCCAUCUCUACUAAGAGCAUCUUGUACAUCAGUGCAGUCUGAUUUGCUUGUAUUAACCCUCCUUCUGCAGCUACCUCUGGAGCUGAUAGCAACUGCAAGGAAUUCAUAGCAAAAAAAUAUGCAACCUGGGGAUGUUCCUAUUAGACGUUUCAAUCAUUGGUGUUCUUCUUGGCAAGGGGGGCUCUCAGAAUAGAGACGCUCUGUAAACACAAACUGUAAUAAAUUUCUUAAAGUGUAAUAAAAUUCCAGAAAGAUUUGAGGAACCGGGUGACUCAGGACCAGUGGAGCUCCAGCAUUCUUAUGCUACCUUUGUCCCUCUUCUACUCUGAAAUUUUGGGGUAUGUCUCAUUUCAAAGAUACCCCUGAAUACCUCCCUGUGCAGCAGCUCACACAGGUCCCCAUGCAAAUUCAAAUUCUCCCUGCUCAUUCAGUGCAGCAGAUCACAUGCUUUUCCUGUGCCAGGUGAGACAUCAUUAAUCAUCCUGCAUGUAGUUAGAAAGGCUCUUUUCUGUGCUGACAGCCUGAUUUUAAUAGGGACGAUCAACACCUGUUUAAGCUUAACUCAGUUUUCCCCUUAAUGCAGCCUUUCCCCCUUCAAAAUAGAGAAAACUCAAACCUUCUGUUUUGAAUGUUUCACUGUAGAGAAAAGUAGGAGUUUGUCCAGCUGUGAGACCAGCCUGUCCACGGUAUGCUUGGCAAAAAUGCAGUAUGUUGUUGGUUACCUGUAAUAAAUCUCUUGUGCAUUUA